Long non-coding RNA from Tachysurus vachellii, 441 nucleotides. RefSeq lists it as uncharacterized. Lineage: Eukaryota; Metazoa; Chordata; Actinopteri; Siluriformes; Bagridae. The transcript is spliced from 3 exons. The record is from RefSeq and is a predicted model, not a curated record.
UGCUUCACCGUUGCUUUGAAAAGUGUAUUGCGAGAACUCUCUCUGAACUGCAUGCGCGGCAUACACACACACACGUCCAGCUACAAUAAUGUAUCAUAUUAAUUUGAAACAGCAACCCAGAAGAUUUGUCACAAGCAUUGAUUAAAACAAUGAUGACAAUAAUCACAUGAAAAAAAAACGACUUCAAUUCUGGACCUUUGGCAGUGAGGGGGGGAUCGUUGGAACCACCUGCCUAUGGGCUUGGAGUUUGAUCCAUUCCAUCAGAAGAGAUCAGACUCUUCAGGACUUCUGCUGUGUGUUUGUGUAAACUUUACUAAUAUUUAAAGAUGGAGACUCCUGAUCUGGACACAGAUAAUGUUUCUACACUAUCAAACAACUGUAAACUCAGGAGAAAGAGAUCAGAAUCACCAACACACAGCUGUAUCUCCAUGAAGAGUGAUG